GAAAUUACUUAUUUUACUUUAACUGUUAAAGUUUAACCAAUGAAAAAGUGACUCAAGAUUCAAAUAUAUUAGUUUCAAACGCCAUUACCAAAUUAUUGUUCAACUGCUACAAUUAAAUUAUAUUUUGAUCACUAUAAAGGCUCAGAGAAUCUAGAAUGAUGGCUACUAAAAGAAAACCAUUUGGCGAUGUACUCAAUGUGUUGAUGAAUAGGGACACUACUGGGAAGCGCCCAACAAGCUCUUAAGCUCUGUGAAUGCUAUCUUAGAAAGGGAUCAAGACCUAGAGAAACCAUUGGUCUCCAUUGCGGAGGCAUUUGAACCAGGAACUUCUGAAGUUAAUCUGGAGCUGAGUGGCAGCAAGACUGAAACUAAGAAAAAAAUAUCAAGAAAACCGAAUUUGGGAAGAUCUAGAAUUAUCUACAUUCUGAAAUGCAAGAAGUGUAGACAGAUCUACACUGGUGAGACCACAUACACUUUGGCUGAGGUCAGGUCCAGACUUAUAAGCGAAGUACAACGUGGAACAUCCCAGAGAAAGGUCGCGAUGCAUUUCCGAACUGCACCAUGUGGCGUGGAUGACAUGAAAUUUCUUGAGAAGAAACAAAUCGGACACACUGACAGGAGAAUUAACCAAAAACGAAAGAUGAUACAAAAACUCAGAAGUAAAGACAUGGGGCUUAACUCAGUAACUCCUAGAAAACGUAAAGUGGAUGUGAGAUCCAGAUCUUCAGGUAAAGACGAAAAACCAGUCGCCAACCAACAAGACAUAAGAAGUUAUUUUCAUGUUAUCAAAAGAAAGAUAAGUUCCUCAAAAGCACUGUAGGAAAUGCGCGAUUAAAAUAAAUGAUCCUAUUUCUUUACAAACUUUGAGAAUUAAAGACACUAAUUGAUCUUUCUUUGGUUAUUUUUAAUAUUUUUCUAAUUCUGUUGUUUAACUAAAAAUCACCAUUAAAUUCAAUAAAGAUGUUAAAACUUAAAA
Biomphalaria glabrata is the source of this 976-nucleotide long non-coding RNA. RefSeq lists it as uncharacterized. The transcript is spliced from 4 exons. The record is from RefSeq and is a predicted model, not a curated record. Lineage: Eukaryota; Metazoa; Mollusca; Gastropoda; Planorbidae.